GUGAGGAAUUUUCCGCAAUGGGCGAAAGUCUGACGGAGCAAUGCCGCGUGAAGGAUGAAGGCCUAUGGGUUGUAAACUUCUUUUCUCAGAAAAGAAUUAUGACGGUAUCUGAGGAAUAAGCAUCGGCUAACUCUGUGCCAGCAGCCGCGGUAAGACAGAGGAUGCAAGCGUUAUCCGGAAUGAUUGGGCGUAAAGCGUCUGUAGGUUGUUUAAAAAGUAUUCUGUCAAAGAUUAGGGCUUAACCCUAGAUAGGCAGAAUAAACUUUUAAGCUAGAGUUUGGUAGAGGCAGAGGGAAUUCCCGGUGGAGCGGUGAAAUGCGUAGAUAUCGGGAGGAACACCAAAGGCGAAGGCACUCUGCUGGGCCAAUACUAACACUGAGAGACGAAAGCGAGGGGAGCAAAUGGGAUUAGAUACCCUAGUAGUCC
RNAcentral lists this ribosomal RNA (426 nucleotides) under uncultured bacterium. RNAcentral's name for it is "partial 16S ribosomal RNA". It matches the Rfam family "Bacterial small subunit ribosomal RNA", at positions 354 to 796 of the family's 1533-position model. The record is from RNAcentral.